UUACAGAAGCUGCUAAAGAAUUUGGAUUUUUCCAGCUGAUUAAUCAUGGGGUUCCAGACAAUUUGCUGCAUAAUGUAAUGAAUGUGGGCAAGGAGUUCUUUGAGCUGCCUUCUGAAGACAAAGCAAGCUUGUAUUCUGAAGAUGCUAGGUAAAGUUGCAGAUUGUACACCAGCAUUGACUAUGUAAGGGAGCAGGUACAUUACUGGAGAGACACUUUGAGACACCCUUGUCAUCCUCUAGAGGAACACAUUGAUUUCUGGCCUCAAAAACCGGCUAAUUAUUGAGAGGUGUUUGGAAGUUACUCUGUGGAGGUGAGGAAGUUGAGUUUGUGUCUUCUGGAUCUUAUCUGUGAAGGGUUAGGGCUCAAAUCUAGAUUUUUUUAGGGUAAGCUCAACCAAGUCCAGUCGAUGGCUACAAAUUAUUAUCCACCAUGUCCAGACCCAAGCUUAACCUUGGGAUUGCCUAAACACAGUGAUGUGAACCUCAUAACUCUUCUUCUCCAAGAACAAGUUCAUGGGCUUCAAGUCUUGAAAGAUGAGCAAUGGCUUGCUGUUGAGCCCGUCCCCAAUGCAUUUGUGGUUAAUAUAGGCCACAUGUUA
Molecule: RNA transcript, 599 nt
Organism: Prunus avium (sweet cherry)
Lineage: Eukaryota; Viridiplantae; Streptophyta; Magnoliopsida; Rosales; Rosaceae
Gene name: hyoscyamine 6-beta-hydroxylase-like
Source: RefSeq, a predicted model, not a curated record